RNAcentral lists this ribosomal RNA (279 nucleotides) under uncultured bacterium. Its description in RNAcentral is "partial 16S ribosomal RNA". It matches the Rfam family "Bacterial small subunit ribosomal RNA", at positions 506 to 784 of the family's 1533-position model. The record is from RNAcentral.
UGCCAGCCGCCGCGGUAAUACGAAGGGUGCUAGCGUUGUUCGGAAUUACUGGGCGUAAAGAGCAUGUAGGCGGAUGAAUUAGUCAGAGGUGAAAGCCCCGAGCUCAACUUGGGAACUGCCUUUGAUACUGUUUAUCUAGAGUCCGAGAGAGGUUAGUGGAAUUCCCAGUGUAGAGGUGAAAUUCGUAGAUACUCGGAGGAACACCAGUGGCGGAGGCGGCCCACUGGCUCGAUACUGACGCUGAGGUGCGAAAGCGUGGGUAGCAAACAGGAUUAGAUA